Molecule: ribosomal RNA, 491 nt
Filed under: uncultured bacterium
Lineage: Bacteria
Description: partial 16S ribosomal RNA
Rfam family: Bacterial small subunit ribosomal RNA
Source: RNAcentral
GAUGAACGCUGGCUACAGGCUUAACACAUGCAAGUCGAGGGGAAACGACGGGGAAGCUUGCUUCCCCGGGCGUCGACCGGCGCACGGGUGAGUAACGCGUAUCCAACCUGCCUCUGACUGAGGGAUAACCCGUCGAAAGUCGGCCUAAUACCUCAUGGCAUCGUCUGCGGGCAUCCAACGACGAUUAAAGAUUUCAUCGGUCAGAGAUGGGGAUGCGUCUGAUUAGCUUGUUGGCGGGGUAACGGCCCACCAAGGCGACGAUCAGUAGGGGUUCUGAGAGGAAGGUCCCCCACAUUGGAACUGAGACACGGUCCAAACGCCUACGGGAGGCAGCAGUGAGGAAUAGUGGUCAAUGGGCGAGAGCCUGAACCAGCCAAGUAGCGUGCAGGAUGACGGCCCUAUGGGUUGUAAACUGCUUUUAUGCGGGGAUAAAGUGAGGGACGUGUCCUUCAUUGCAGGUACCGCAUGAAUAAGGACCGGCUAAUUCCGUG